UUAAGCUAGCAACAAUUAGACUUCGAAGUUUGCUUAUAACAAUCCAUUACCAUGCGUCGCUACUUUGAUUAAGGGGUCAGCGUUGCCACGAUGACCACCCAGAAAACAAAACGUUUUUAACCAUACGCAUGGAGAUACUUUUCCCAGGUGCAUCAGAGAGUUUAAGGUCAACAGAAAAAUAGUUCUUAAGGCUUGAAGAACACAAAUCAGGUGCGAGACAGAGAUGAAAGAAGGAAAGAGGGGAAGAUCAAAGAGAGGAAUGGAAAGGAGGACACCGAAACCUCAGGCCUGUCUGACAGUCGGUCUCGACAGCACACCUGUAGAGCAGAGCCCAGACCCACAGUCACCUCUCUCACAAAAUCACACGCAAAGAAAAAAAUAUAUAAUGCACAGGUGUUUCACCUCCUUCUAAACAAUGUGAGCGAAGAUGCUUGGGAUUCUAAAAAGACAGUAAAGACUUUGACCAACCUGUCUGACACAUCUUGCACUAAAGGUGUGCUCGAUUGAGGGAGGAGCAUUAUUUUGCUACCUGCAAAACCCCAAAGUCUAGCCAUUGUCUAACCAAAGUCUAACCAUCACCAUUAUGAAUUCAAGUUUUUCUGUGUGACCCCCAAACAUAACCUGAUUAAAAUAGUUUCCUGCAUACACACAAAAAAACUGUGGCACAUUACAAAUAAACAAUCCAUAAUCUUGAA
Anguilla rostrata (American eel) is the source of this 695-nucleotide long non-coding RNA. RefSeq lists it as uncharacterized. Lineage: Eukaryota; Metazoa; Chordata; Actinopteri; Anguilliformes; Anguillidae. The transcript is spliced from 2 exons. The record is from RefSeq and is a predicted model, not a curated record.